AUUGAACGCUGGCGGCAUGCUUUACACAUGCAAGUCGAACGGUAACAGGUUAAGCUGACGAGUGGCGAACGGGUGAGUAAUGCAUCGGAACGUGCCCGAUCGUGGGGGAUAACGCAGCGAAAGCUGCGCUAAUACCGCAUACGAUCUGAGGAUGAAAGUGGGGGACCUUCGGGCCUCACGCUAUUCGAGCGGCCGACGUCUGAUUAGCUAGUAGGUGAGGUAAAGGCUCACCUAGGCGACGAUCAGUAGCGGGUCUGAGAGGAUGAUCCGCCACACUGGGACUGAGACACGGCCCAGACCCCUACGGGAGGCAGCAGUGGGGAAUUUUGGACAAUGGGCGAAAGCCUGAUCCAGCCAUGCCGCGUGUCUGAAGAAGGCCUUCGGGUUGUAAAGGACUUUUGUCAGGGAGGAAAUCCCUAGUGCUAAUAACACUGGGGGAUGACAGUACCUGAAGAAUAAGCACCGGCUAACUACGUGCCAGCCGCCGCCGUAA
RNAcentral lists this ribosomal RNA (493 nucleotides) under uncultured bacterium. RNAcentral describes it as "partial 16S ribosomal RNA". It matches the Rfam family "Bacterial small subunit ribosomal RNA", at positions 30 to 523 of the family's 1533-position model. The record is from RNAcentral.